CAUGAUGUCGACUAAUAAUAU
This 21-nucleotide microRNA is filed under the name Ananas comosus (pineapple). RNAcentral's name for it is "microRNA s0769_c100a". Lineage: Eukaryota; Viridiplantae; Streptophyta; Magnoliopsida; Poales; Bromeliaceae. The record is from RNAcentral.